RNAcentral lists this ribosomal RNA (240 nucleotides) under Melanotus subcuneiformis. Its description in RNAcentral is "partial large subunit ribosomal RNA". Lineage: Eukaryota; Fungi; Basidiomycota; Agaricomycetes; Agaricales; Strophariaceae. The record is from RNAcentral.
AAACGCUUGAAGUCAGUCGCGUUGCCUGGGGAUCAACCUUACUUUUGUUGGGUGUACUUUCCAGGUGACGGGUCAGCAUCAAUUUUGACCGUUGGAUAAAGUGUAGAGAAAUGUGGCAUCUUCGGGUGUGUUAUAGUCUUUGCUCGUAUACAACGGUUGGGAUUGAGGAACUCAGUACGCCGCAAGGCCGGGAUUUAUCCACGUUCGUACUUAGGAUGCUGGCAUAAUGGCUUUAAUCGA